GGGGUUGUGACUCAGCAGUAGAGUGCUCGCCUAGCACGUGUGAGGCCCUGGGUUCGAUCCUCAGCACCA
This 69-nucleotide transfer RNA is filed under the name Ictidomys tridecemlineatus (thirteen-lined ground squirrel). RNAcentral describes it as "Spermophilus tridecemlineatus (thirteen-lined ground squirrel) tRNA". It matches the Rfam family "tRNA". From Rfam's summary of the family: Transfer RNA (tRNA) molecules are approximately 80 nucleotides in length. Their secondary structure includes four short double-helical elements and three loops (D, anti-codon, and T loops). The record is from Rfam by way of RNAcentral. RNAcentral also lists the same sequence under 1 other name. Lineage: Eukaryota; Metazoa; Chordata; Mammalia; Rodentia; Sciuridae.